AACUUUUAGCAAUGGAUCUCUUGGCUCUCGCAUCUAUGAAGAACGCAGCGAAAUGCGAUUAGUAAUGUGAAUUGCAGAAUUCAGUGAAUCAUCGAAUCUUUGAACGCACCUUGCGCUCCUUGGUAUUCCGAGUAGCAUGCCUGUUUGCGGGUCAUUAAUAUAUCAACCUCAUGAGCAUUUUGCUUGUUGAGUGUUGGAUCUGGGGGGUUUCUCUUUUGCUGGUCUCAUCACUUUUGAGGUCAGCUCCCCUGAAAAGCAUUAGCAGAACAAUUUGUUGAACCGUUCACUGGUGUGAUAACUAUCUACGCUAUUGACGCAAAGCAAGUUCAGCUUCUAACAGUCCAUUGACUUGGACAAAUUUUCAUUAAUGUGACCUCAAAUCAGGUAGGACUACCCGCUGAACUUAAGCAUAUCAAUAAGCGGAGGCU
RNAcentral lists this unclassified non-coding RNA (428 nucleotides) under uncultured Cortinarius. RNAcentral describes it as "sequence contains ITS2". The stretch from base 1 to 154 matches the Rfam family "5.8S ribosomal RNA". The record is from RNAcentral. Lineage: Eukaryota; Fungi; Basidiomycota; Agaricomycetes; Agaricales; Cortinariaceae.